UGCUUGCUCUUCACGACUUUGUCGGGAAGGUUGGUAGUAUCGCCCCCUUUACAGCCCUUCG
RNAcentral lists this ribosomal RNA (61 nucleotides) under Cylicocyclus ashworthi. RNAcentral describes it as "partial 18S ribosomal RNA". Lineage: Eukaryota; Metazoa; Nematoda; Chromadorea; Rhabditida; Strongylidae. The record is from RNAcentral.